This 1375-nucleotide long non-coding RNA is filed under the name Sus scrofa (pig). Its description in RNAcentral is "lncRNA (ENSSSCG00015047326.1)". The record is from RNAcentral. Lineage: Eukaryota; Metazoa; Chordata; Mammalia; Artiodactyla; Suidae.
UUUUUUUUUUUUUUUUUUUUUUUUCAGCUGUUACUGUUGAAGAAUCUCUUGGCUUGGACUCAUUUAGCCCCUUGACAUUGUAAGUACGGCCCAUGAGCGUAACCGGUGGUCACUACUGCUGCAUCCACUGGGUCGUGAGGGAGGCACAGUCAUGAUAACAAACAGUCCUUGCUGGCGUUCCCGUCGUGGCGCAGUGGUUAACGAAUCCGACUAGGAACCAUGAGGUUUCGGGUUCGAUCCCUGGCCUCGCUCUGUGGGUUAAGGAUCCGGCGUUGCCGUGAGCUGUGGUGCUAGGGAUCAAAUCUACGUCCCCAUGGAUACUAGGCCGAUGCAUUUUCCUGAGCCGCAACGGGAACUCCAUGAAUUUUACUUUAAAUGCACUGUGUGUGCCAUCAGAGCAGGACAUCAGAUAAAUACCAGAUGUGACCACCCACAGGGCAUCCUGUGAAGAAAUGUAGACAUAGGCUUAAAAUCCUUUAGCACAAAAAUCUGUAUUUGAGACAGCUCUAAAAACUGAAGGUUUGUGGCCAACUCACCUGGACAUAAAACCAACCUGCUAGAACCGAGUUGAAGGCUAAGUCCAGCCUGAGUUGAACUAGGGGUAUAAUUGGAGCUGAUGUGGGGCUCUUUAAAGUUUCUCUUUAUCCCGCUCAUCAUGAACAACCAUGCAUUUUGCUGCAGAUAUGAAUAAGAUUCCCUUCAGGGUGCUGCUCUCCGACCCCUUUAGGCCUGGUAUAUAUCUCUGAUAUAUUCACCAUAAGGCCAGUCUAAAUCAGAAAAAAAGCCUGAAUUCAACGCACUGGCCCCAAGGGUUCUGAAUACGGCAUGAGGUCUUUAGAAACAUAAAGCAGGGAAGACCCUAGAUCUCGUCUGGGUCAAUUAAUAUUACGAAUGAGAAAAAGAAGCCUAGACACAUGUGUGCGAGGAGCAGGGAACGUGUUCAGAAUCACGUCCUCAGUCUGGGGCUCAGCCAAGACAGUGCUAUUUCUCCUGCCACCUGCUGCCCACAUGUGCGUGUACGUGUUGAGAACACAGGUGUCUCUGCCCACCACUCCUACUGAGACACUAAGGUGAGCUAUCUGAAAAUGAGUGUGUCACUGGUUAUCACCGUUACCCAUAAUCCUGCUUUGGUUCAGACAAUAUUGACAAUAUGGAAGUUUGAGAGAGGUUAAUUCAAAGCUGUUCUAUAUGACUCUUGAAAAUUAGUCCAGUAAGAUUUUAAUGAACAAUGCAUUUGCAUUGCAUUCAUCUGAAUGCAUUUCCUUUUAGCAGUUAGAAAUGCUAAAUAUGAUUUAUUUUUGUCUUUUUAGAGCCGCCACCUGCGGCAUAUGGAGGCUCCCAGGCUAGGGGUAUAAUUGGAGCUGUAGCCGCCGGC